Molecule: unclassified non-coding RNA, 437 nt
Filed under: Hevea brasiliensis (rubber tree)
Lineage: Eukaryota; Viridiplantae; Streptophyta; Magnoliopsida; Malpighiales; Euphorbiaceae
Source: RNAcentral
GGAUGGUGGCUGCUCAUUGGGAUUAGAUUCACAAUCUCUGGUUCCCGUAAAUACUGUCGAUGCUCAUGAAUUCUGGCCGGGGCAGUUUGUACUUGAGCGGGGUGCUUGUGAUGACCCACACAUUACUGGAAACCAAAAAUGGGGCGUAAUAAGUGCUGUGGAUGUGAAGGAACGGACUGUAAGGGUGAAAUGGAAUCAGGCUAAUAAUGCGUGUGCCAACCAGGUGGAGGAAAUUGUGAGUGCUUAUGAGCUGGUUGAGCAUCCAGAUUACACUUAUUGUUACGGUGACAUUGUAUUUAAAAAUGUAGAACAAGACGAUACGUGUCAUCUGAACAAUGAGAUUAGCAUGAUUGAAGAUGUUGAUCUUAAAGGCAGGGACUGUAGAAGAGUUCAGAUUAAUUACCCUUAUAAUGGUUACUUGUCCUGUAUUGGCUAUG